AGCGAACGCUGGCGGCGUGCUUAACACAUGCAAGUCGAGUGCGCAGUCUGCUGUAGCAAUACAGCAGGCCGGCGCACGGCGCACGGGUGCGUAACACGUGGGCAACCUGCCCUCCAAUGGGGGAUAACCCGCCGAAAGGCGGGCUAAUACCGCAUGACAUUCCGGUGACUUCGGUCGCCGGAAUCAAAGCUCGUAAGGGCGUUGGGGGAGGGGCCCGCGGCCGAUUAGCUUGUUGGCGAGGUAACGGCUCACCAAGGCUUUGAUCGGUAG
Molecule: ribosomal RNA, 270 nt
Filed under: uncultured bacterium
Lineage: Bacteria
Description: partial 16S ribosomal RNA
Rfam family: Bacterial small subunit ribosomal RNA
Source: RNAcentral